Molecule: small nucleolar RNA, 135 nt
Filed under: Pelobates cultripes (western spadefoot toad)
Lineage: Eukaryota; Metazoa; Chordata; Amphibia; Anura; Pelobatidae
Rfam family: U8 small nucleolar RNA
About the family: U8 is a member of the C/D class of snoRNA which contain the C (UGAUGA) and D (CUGA) box motifs. U8 is the RNA component of a small complex (the U8 snoRNP) which is required for accumulation of mature large subunit ribosomal RNAs, 5.8S and 28S rRNAs.
Source: RNAcentral
UCGUCAGUGAGGUCGAUCCUUACCUGUUCCUCCUCAGGGAGAAACAGUACGUGAUGAAUGGAGGAGACUGAUGUGUGAUUACAGCAGCUCCGCAUCUUCCGAGCGACAACACAACUCGGGAGGUGAAAUUCUGAA